Long non-coding RNA from Prunus dulcis (almond), 944 nucleotides. RefSeq lists it as uncharacterized. Lineage: Eukaryota; Viridiplantae; Streptophyta; Magnoliopsida; Rosales; Rosaceae. The record is from RefSeq and is a predicted model, not a curated record. The transcript has 3 exons.
AUAGGGAUGGGGAGCUGGGAGGAGAGUGGGACGGAGAGAGAGAGUGGGGAACGAAGAGAGGGAGAGUGCUCUGGUGGGGAAGAUGCAGGUGCGCCGCUAUCACGAACACAUUCAGACCACGAGCUGACGCAAGUUGAAAUCAUGCUUCUCUGUUUUUCUAGUUCUGUAGUCGCCGCUAAUCAUGCUGCUUUGAUUUUCCAUUGAUGUUUGCUUUGUUACUCUCAAAAAGUUUCCUUCCUUUAUUUUUUAUUUAUUUCGAUAAUGAAAUUUGAAAUUUGAAUUGUGUGUUGCUUUGUUACUCUGAAUAAAUCUUCCUUCUUUUUCUUUUUUCUUACAGGAAUUGGGUUUUGGUGUUUCACCGACGAGCUGACGCCAGAGAGAGAGGGAUGGGGUUGGUGUGGGUGCGAGUGGGGGGCUGAACAAAGGGUGCUGGGUUUGUUGGGCUGAGGAGGGGCUGGGAUUUUUUAAGAAUUCUCAGAGGUUUAAUAAUUUGCUUUUACAAAUACCAUGAUCGUUUUGGGAAAUCUCUCUUUCUGGAGGCAGAUUCCAGAGCCGUUUAAGGGAAAUUCGUAGUCGAGCUACCGAUGUUCAUGAUAAGGAAAAGGGAAUCAAGAUUACUGAGAAGGAUUGGGAAAAGUUGAAUGUACAAUUGCUUCAUACAACAAUUUUCCUACUGCUGCUGGAUUGGCUUCCUCAGCAGCUGGUUUUGCAUGUCUUGUUUUUGCCCUCGCAAAGUUAAUGAAUGCGAAUGAAGAUCACAGCCAGCUUUCUGCUCCUGUAAUCAAUCUGAGAUUUUAAUAAGCCAUCGCAAUCUGACUAAGUUUUACAGAAUACUUAACACAAUAGUAAGUGCUGAUAUCGACCCUGAAGAACGUCUCCUUGACAGUAGCUUAAUUGAUUUUGACAGAGCAAGCCUCCUUUAUGCCAUUGGGAAUAAUAAUGUG